AUUGAACGCUGGCGGCAUGCCUUACACAUGCAAGUCGAACGGCAGCACGGGUGCUUGCACCUGGUGGCGAGUGGCGAACGGGUGAGUAAUACAUCGGAACAUGUCCUGUAGUGGGGGAUAGCCCGGCGAAAGCCGGAUUAAUACCGCAUACGAUCUACGGAUGAAAGCGGGGGACCUUCGGGCCUCGCGCUAUAGGGUUGGCCGAUGGCUGAUUAGCUAGUUGGUGGGGUAAAGGCCUACCAAGGCGACGAUCAGUAGCUGGUCUGAGAGGACGACCAGCCACACUGGGCCUGAGACACGGCCCAGACUCCUACGGGAGGCAGCAGUGGGGAAUUUUGGACAAUGGGCGAAAGCCUGAUCCAGCAAUGCCGCGUGUGUGAAGAAGGCCUUCGGGUUGUAAAGCACUUUUGUCCGGAAAGAAAUCCUUGGCUCUAAUACAGUCGGGGGAUGACGGUACCGGAAGAAUAAGCACCGGCUAACUACGU
RNAcentral lists this ribosomal RNA (485 nucleotides) under uncultured bacterium. Its description in RNAcentral is "partial 16S ribosomal RNA". It matches the Rfam family "Bacterial small subunit ribosomal RNA", at positions 30 to 506 of the family's 1533-position model. The record is from RNAcentral.